UACGUAGGGUGCGAGCGUUGUCCGGAAUUAUUGGGCGUAAAGGGCUCGUAGGCGGUCUGUCACGUCGGGAGUGAAAACUCAGGGCUUAACCCUGAGCCUGCUUCCGAUACGGGCAGACUAGAGGUAUGCAGGGGAGAACGGAAUUCCUGGUGUAGCGGUGAAAUGCGCAGAUAUCAGGAGGAACACCGGUGGCGAAGGCGGUUCUCUGGGCAUUACCUGACGCUGAGGAGCGAAAUUGUGGGGAGCGAACAGG
This 253-nucleotide ribosomal RNA is filed under the name uncultured bacterium. Its description in RNAcentral is "partial 16S ribosomal RNA". It matches the Rfam family "Bacterial small subunit ribosomal RNA", at positions 524 to 776 of the family's 1533-position model. The record is from RNAcentral.